Molecule: ribosomal RNA, 482 nt
Filed under: uncultured bacterium
Lineage: Bacteria
Description: bacterial LSU rRNA
Rfam family: Bacterial large subunit ribosomal RNA
Source: RNAcentral
GGGUGAGAAUCCUGAUCGCCGUAAGCCCAAGGUUUCCUGGGGGCAGGUCAGUCCGCCCAGGGUUAGUCGGGUCCUAAGCUGAGGCCGACAGGCGUAGGCGAUGGAAAACAGGUUAAUUCCUGUACCGGCGUGGAGCGACAAAGACGUGAUGGGGGGACAGAGGGUUGAUGGUCAGCCUACGGUUAGAUGUGUAGGUUUAAGCUUGCGGGGUCGCAGUAGGAAAAUCCGCUGCGUAUGGCCUCGGGAGUGAUGACGAGCGCCUUGAGCGCGAAGUGAUCGGAGCCCCUCUCAAGAAAAGCCUCUAGCGAGCUCUAAGCCGCCCGUACCGUAACUGACACUGGUGGGCGAGGUGAAUAUCCUAAGGCGCUCGAGUGAAAUCUCGUGAAGGAACUCAGCAUAAUGGCUCCGUAACUUCGGGAGAAGGAGCGCCUCGGUGGUCGAAGGGUUUACCCCUUAGGCUGUUGAGGGCCGCAGAGAAAUGG